RNAcentral lists this ribosomal RNA (430 nucleotides) under uncultured bacterium. Its description in RNAcentral is "bacterial SSU rRNA". It matches the Rfam family "Bacterial small subunit ribosomal RNA", at positions 79 to 544 of the family's 1533-position model. The record is from RNAcentral.
UUCGGGACGCCGGCGAGUGGCGAACGGGUGAGUAACACGUGGAGACCUGCCCUGGGGUGGGGGAUAACAACUAGAAAUGGCUGCUAAUACCGCAUACGCCUUACGAGGGAAAGAUUUAUUGCCCCAGGAGGGUUCCGCGUCGGAUUAGCUUGUUGGUAGGGUAACGGCCUACCAAGGCGACGAUCCGUAGCUGGUCUUAGAGGAUGAUCAGCCACACUGGGACUGAGGCACGGCCCAGACUCCUACGGGAGGCAGCAGUGGGGAAUAUUGCGCAAUGGGGGAAACCCUGACGCAGCGAUGCCGCGUGGGUGAAUAAGGCCUUAGGGUUGUAAAGCCCUUUCAGUGGGAACGAUGAUGACGGUACCCACAGAAGAAGCCCCGGCUAACUCCGUGCCAGCAGCCGCGGUAAUACGGAGGGGGCGAGCGUUGU